This 253-nucleotide ribosomal RNA is filed under the name uncultured bacterium. RNAcentral describes it as "partial 16S ribosomal RNA". It matches the Rfam family "Bacterial small subunit ribosomal RNA", at positions 524 to 776 of the family's 1533-position model. The record is from RNAcentral.
UACGUAGGGUGCAAGCGUUGUCCGGAAUUAUUGGGCGUAAAGAGCUCGUAGGCGGUCUGUCGCGUCGGCUGUGAAAACCCGGGGCUCAACCCCGGGCCUGCAGUCGAUACGGGCAGACUAGAGUACUGCAGGGGAGACUGGAAUUCCUGGUGUAGCGGUGGAAUGCGCAGAUAUCAGGAGGAACACCGGUGGCGAAGGCGGGUCUCUGGGCAGUAACUGACGCUGAGGAGCGAAAGCGUGGGGAGCGAACAGG